Molecule: signal recognition particle RNA, 262 nt
Filed under: Anaerotignum sp.
Lineage: Bacteria; Bacillati; Bacillota; Clostridia; Lachnospirales; Anaerotignaceae
Description: signal recognition particle sRNA large type
Rfam family: Bacterial large signal recognition particle RNA
About the family: The signal recognition particle (SRP) is a universally conserved ribonucleoprotein involved in the co-translational targeting of proteins to membranes.
Source: RNAcentral
CCGUGCUAGCCGGGGUGGUAGCGGUGCCCUGUACUCACAAUCCGCUAUAGUGAGGGUGAUGCUCGCUUUCGACGUAUGGCUUGAUGGCCUGCCCUUCGAAAGCGGUGAUGAAGUCUGGUCUUACGCAACAUGAGCCUGUGAACCGUGUCAGGGUCGGAAGGCAGCAGCACUAAGCAGUCAACUUGUGUGUGUUGUAAGGGUGCCCGAUGGAGCUGUGGACGCUGGUAACGCAUGGGGCGAUACGGCAACAGCGAGCGUGUGG